RNAcentral lists this unclassified non-coding RNA (418 nucleotides) under soil metagenome. Its description in RNAcentral is "partial contains 5.8S ribosomal RNA, internal transcribed spacer 2, and large subunit ribosomal RNA". The stretch from base 1 to 120 matches the Rfam family "5.8S ribosomal RNA", at positions 35 to 154 of the family's 154-position model. The record is from RNAcentral.
GAUGAAGAACGUAGCGAAAUGCGAUACGUAAUGUGAAUUGCAGAAUUCAGUGAAUCAUCGAAUCUUUGAACGCACAUUGCACUCUCUGGUAUUCCGGAGAGUAUGCUUGUUUGAGUAUCAGUAAACACCUCAAAUCUCUUGUUUCUUGUGAAUAAGAGAAUUGGACUUGAGCAAUCCCAACUCUUGCAAAAGAGGCGGGUUGCUUGAAAUGCAGGUGCAGCUGGACAUUCUUCUGAGCUAAAAGCAUAUUUAUUUAGUCCCGUAAAACGGAUUAUUCCUUUUGCUGCAGCUAACAUAAAGGUUGAAUGGCCAAUAUGGCUGACUGAUGCAGGAUUAACAGAGAAUUUAUUCUUUGUAAACUCGAUCUCAAAUCAAGUAAGACUACCCGCUGAACUUAAGCAUAUCAAUAAGCGGAGGA